This is a long non-coding RNA of Hippopotamus amphibius kiboko, 1858 nucleotides long. RefSeq lists it as uncharacterized. Lineage: Eukaryota; Metazoa; Chordata; Mammalia; Artiodactyla; Hippopotamidae. The record is from RefSeq and is a predicted model, not a curated record. The transcript is spliced from 3 exons.
GCAAGAAACCAAGGCCUUCUGCAAACAGACAUGUGCGUGAGCCAUCUGACAGGGCUCCCCCAGCCCCAGUCGGGCCUUCAGGUGAGACUGCAGCAUCUGCCAACGUCAUAACUACAACCUUAUGAGAGGCUCUGAGCCAGAGCCACCCAGAAACCAAACUAGCUUUAAGUAGGCACAGCCUUCCAAGUCCUGGCUGCUGGUGUCCCGGAGAGAUUUCAGGGAGAAGCAGUCUUGGCUGAGCGUUAGAGCCAGAGGCCGGCCGGGGAAGGGAACAAUGUCUGCGUUUUGAGAACAGCUGGAGCUUCAGAGGGAGAAAAGCAGCUUGGCGAAUGAGGAAAGAAUGUGCUUGUCCCUUCAAGAGGCAAGAAACUUCGAUUUCCCUCCUGCCUCUGCCAACAAGUGUUUAUUGGAAAGGACAGAGUGGUGGUGAUGGCAGGUGGCGCAGUGGGUAAGAAUCCGCCUGCCAAUGCAGGGGACACGGGUUCGAGCCCUGCCCCAGGAAGAUACCACAUGCCGUGGAGCAACUAAGCCGGUGUGCCACAACUGUUGAGCCUGUGCUCUAGAGCCCAUGAGCCACAACUAUUGAGCCCAUGUGCCACAACUACUGAAGCCCACGCGUCUAGAGCCCGUGCUCUGCAACAAGAAAGGCCACCGCAAUGAGAAGCCUAUGCACCACAACAGAGAGUAGCCCUCCCUCGCUGCAACUAGAGAAAGCCCAUGUGCAGCAACGAAGACCCAACACAGCCAAUUAAAUAAAUAAAUAAAUAAAUUUAUAAAAAAAAUUUAUUGAUCAGAAGUAACCUGUAUACGUUAUUUAGGACCCCUUUUUUGCUAGGGUGCUGUGAUUCUAGGUAAUGAGACUUUAUUACAAGGAUUCAAGGGACUACAGUAACUAUAUAGUUACUCUGCACCUCCAAAUUUCCAAGACUGGAAUUAGUACUCUCAAGAAAAAAAAUAAUUUGAUGUGGUCUCUUGUCAUUACCCAUGAUGAAGUUCCUGGCCUGGUGAGGUUCACCAAACCACGUCAAACGUGGUAACCUCCUCCACAUCCAAAUUGUGUGAUAACUUACCUUUAACUUGGGCACUCUUUUCUGAGGCCAGAGUAAAAGUUUCACAAGGCAUAUCUAGUGUGAAUCAUUGCAACUUUUUUCUAGAAGGUGUCUUUUAAGGCUGCUGUUCUUAAAAGGAGAUUGUGAGAAAAGCAGGAACUUGGAAUUUUGUACCCUUUCCCAGCAUAAGUAUGAAGAAACAAACUGGAUGUCAGGAAGUCAGUGCAAAGAAGUCGGUGAACCUCAGAGAGUACACAAGGAGCAACAUCUACUGCCAUCUUCUCUAUUCACCAGCAUCCCGAGCAUCUCCAAUGGGUUGACUUUUUUUUUUUUUUUUUUUUUUUUGAGUAUCUGCUUUGUGCGAAUCAUGGUGAGAAUAUUAAGAAUAAUUUUAGAAACUGGAAAAAUUCUUAACCCAGAGAGAUCAUUACUUUGCUGCGUUUACAAAUACAGUAAAUUCAACACAAGCAUGGCUUAAGGAAUGUCAACCACUCUGGAAAUGUAGAAGAAUUUCUUAUAAUCCAGAAUAUGUAAUUAAUCAGAGCUUCUAUUCCCCAAGCAUUCUGAGUAAUCAGUAUUUUCCUUUGUGAGUUUCAGGUGAAGAAACAUUUGCACAUUGACCUAACUGGGUUGUUCAAUACACUUUCUUCUGAGUCUUUCUUUAGCAUGAUGUGAGGUAUACUCAGGAAAUGUGCAUUUAAAUAGUCACAGUAAUGAUUGUAGUGAAGCCAAGUGGGGACUUCAUGCUCUAAUUUCCAUGAAUUGAGGGGUAAUAUUUUUAUGUUAUUUUUUUCUGUAAUAAAACCUAA